Molecule: ribosomal RNA, 489 nt
Filed under: uncultured Alphaproteobacteria bacterium
Lineage: Bacteria; Pseudomonadati; Pseudomonadota; Alphaproteobacteria
Description: bacterial SSU rRNA
Rfam family: Bacterial small subunit ribosomal RNA
Source: RNAcentral
GAAUUCGCCCUUAGAGUUUGAUCCUGGCUCAGAACGAACGCUGGCGGCAUGCCUAACACAUGCAAGUCGAACGAAACCUUCGGGUUUAGUGGCGCACGUGUGCGUAACGCGUGGGAACCUACCAUCAGGUUCGGGAUAACAGUUGGAAACGGCUGCUAAUACCGGAUAAUGUCUUCGGACCAAAGAUUUAUCGCCUUUUGAUGGGCCCGCGUAAGAUUAGCUAGUUGGUGAGGUAAAAGCUCACCAAGGCGACGAUCUUUAGCUGGUCUGAGAGGAUGAUCAGCCACACUGGGACUGAGACACGGCCCAGACUCCUACGGGAGGCAGCAGUGGGGAAUAUUGGACAAUGGGCGAAAGCCUGAUCCAGCAAUGCCGCGUGAGUGAUGAAGGCCUUAGGGUUGUAAAGCUCUUUUACUAGGGAUGAUAAUGACAGUACCUAGAGAAUAAGUUCCGGCUAACUCCGUGCCAGCAGCCGCGGUAAUAAGGGCG